UGUGGACGAGUUUGAUCAUGGCUCAGAACGAACGCUGGCGGCAUGCCUAACACAUGCAAGUCGAACGAAGGCUUCGGCCUUAGUGGCGCACGGGUGCGUAACGCGUGGGAACCUGCCCCUCGGUUCGGAAUAACAGUUAGAAAUGACUGCUAAUACCGGAUGAUGACUUCGGUCCAAAGAUUUAUCGCCGAGGGAUGGGCCCGCGUAGGAUUAGCUAGUUGGUGGGGUAAAGGCCUACCAAGGCGACGAUCCUUAGCUGGUCUGAGAGGAUGAUCAGCCACACUGGGACUGAGACACGGCCCAGACUCCUACGGGAGGCAGCAGUGGGGAAUAUUGGACAAUGGGCGAAAGCCUGAUCCAGCAAUGCCGCGUGAGUGAUGAAGGCCUUAGGGUUGUAAAGCUCUUUUACCAGGGAUGAUAAUGACAGUACCUGGAGAAUAAGCUCCGGCUAACUCCGUG
RNAcentral lists this ribosomal RNA (459 nucleotides) under uncultured bacterium. RNAcentral describes it as "bacterial SSU rRNA". It matches the Rfam family "Bacterial small subunit ribosomal RNA", at positions 1 to 507 of the family's 1533-position model. The record is from RNAcentral.